Molecule: long non-coding RNA, 269 nt
Filed under: Elaeis guineensis (African oil palm)
Lineage: Eukaryota; Viridiplantae; Streptophyta; Magnoliopsida; Arecales; Arecaceae
Description: long non-coding RNA (EGUI_LNC027230)
Source: RNAcentral
CAACUAGUUCUCAGACAAACUUUUAUCCAUAGAGCUCAACUAUUCUUUCAUAGAAUCCAACCACUAUAAGGAGUUCUCAUCUUUCAUAACUUGUAAGAACAUCUUAGGAUCAUCAUCUUUUUCACCCAUAUCAAUUAGAUACACCCCAUAUUAAUCUAGAGAUAUAGCAAAUUUUCUUAUUCUUGGAGAUCUCUAAAGAGCUAUCCCUUGAUCCGCUCGUGAUGGAGGUUAGAUAGUUACUUCCUCGGCAAUAGGAACCACAUGGACUG